GGUAGUGACAAUAAAUACUGAUACAGGGCUCUUUUGGGUCUUGUAAUUGGAAUGAGUACAAUUUAAACCUCUUAACGAGGAACAAUUGGAGGGCAAGUCUGGUGCCAGCAGCCGCGGUAAUUCCAGCUCCAAUAGCGUAUAUUAAAGUUGUUGCAGUUAAAAAGCUCGUAGUUGAACCUUUGGCCUGGCCGGCAGGUCCGCCUCACCGCGUGCACUUGCCCGGCCGGGCCUUUUCUUCUGGAGAACCGCAUGCCCUUCACUGGGUGUGUUGGGGACCAGGACUUUUACUUUGAAAAAAUUAGAGUGUUCAAAGCAGGCCUUUGCUCGAAUACGUUAGCAUGGAAUAAUAGAAUAGGACGUGCGGUCCUAUUUUGUUGGUUUUCAGGACCGCCGUAAUGAUUAAUAGGGACAGUCGGGGGCAUCAGUAUUCAAUUGUCAGAGGUGAAAUUCUUGGAUUUAUUGAAGACUAACUACUGCGAAAGCAUUUGCCAAGGAUGUUUUCAUUAAUCAGUGAACGAAAGUUAGGGGAUCGAAGACGAUCAGAUACCGUCGUAGUCUUAACCAUAAACUAUGCCGACUAGGGAUCGGGCGGUGUUUCUAUUGUGACCCGCUCGGCACCU
Molecule: ribosomal RNA, 620 nt
Filed under: Neokalmusia karka
Lineage: Eukaryota; Fungi; Ascomycota; Dothideomycetes; Pleosporales; Didymosphaeriaceae
Description: SSU rRNA
Rfam family: Eukaryotic small subunit ribosomal RNA
Source: RNAcentral